UGUCUUAACGAUUUUCUCUAGCGGUAAAUUAAGUCGAUUAAGACUUGAUCAGACCAAAAUGACCGUUUCAGACUUAAAUCUGGCUACUAGUGCUCGUACUAACAAUUGUUAAGUCUAGUUUUUUAUUAUAAUUAGACUUCUGUUGACCUUAGAAUGACAACCAUGCGUCAAAUAGAUUAUAACGCAUCAGCGUAGGGACCAUCGCAUUUUGGCGUAGAUGAUCGCACUUCAGCGUUACCAUCGCACUUCAGCCUCCCCAUCGCACCUCCGAGUUCUAUAUAUAGACAUAUAUUCAUUUAUUUGUAUUAUGACUGUUACUGUUUUUGUCUUUGUAGAUAUUCCAACAGGGCAGCGUCCACUGCAGAUGUUAUAUGUGAUGGAUUUCUCCUUUAUAAUUACUUAUAAAUCGAAAAUCAAC
This 418-nucleotide long non-coding RNA is filed under the name Mytilus galloprovincialis (Mediterranean mussel). The record is from RNAcentral. Lineage: Eukaryota; Metazoa; Mollusca; Bivalvia; Mytilida; Mytilidae.